AUUGGUCAAAUGGUCAUGGAUAUGCACCUGAAAAAAUGCUUAUUUAAUGGAAUUGGUUGUUUUGACCUAUAAAAGACAUCGUUCAAUAUCUUCACGACACCAUGACCUUCCGCAGCUCCUUUUGCAAUUGUCAAAUUCACGAUGGAGCCACAUUUUAUUAAAAUCUUCACAGCACUUUAAAAAGAAAGAAACAGAAAUAAGGAAAAAUACACGUUGAUGAUGUAGCGAUUUCUACUGUAGUCUUCUGUUUGUACGUAACAUAUUAUAAAUAACAAAAUUGUGUUAUUGUCUUCAA
Molecule: long non-coding RNA, 295 nt
Organism: Xenia sp. Carnegie-2017
Lineage: Eukaryota; Metazoa; Cnidaria; Anthozoa; Malacalcyonacea; Xeniidae
Exons: 2
Source: RefSeq, a predicted model, not a curated record